Molecule: transfer RNA, 73 nt
Filed under: Stegodyphus mimosarum
Lineage: Eukaryota; Metazoa; Arthropoda; Arachnida; Araneae; Eresidae
Rfam family: tRNA
About the family: Transfer RNA (tRNA) molecules are approximately 80 nucleotides in length.
Source: Rfam by way of RNAcentral
GCCUUCGUGGUGUAGUGGUUAGCACGCUCGACAAGCAAACGAGAGGUCAGUGGUUCGAAUCCAGGCAAAGGUG